Molecule: ribosomal RNA, 404 nt
Filed under: uncultured Vampirovibrio sp.
Lineage: Bacteria; Bacillati; Candidatus Melainabacteria; Vampirovibriophyceae; Vampirovibrionales; Vampirovibrionaceae
Description: bacterial SSU rRNA
Rfam family: Bacterial small subunit ribosomal RNA
Source: RNAcentral
GGGGAAUUUUACGCAAUGGGCGAAAGCCUGACGUAGCGACACCGCGUGAGCGAAGAAGCCCCUUGGGGUGUAAAGCUCUGUCAGCUGGAACGAAAAAAAUGACGGUACCAGCAGAGGAAGCAUCGGCUAACUACGUGCCAGCAGCCGCGGUAAGACGUAGGAUGCAAGCGUUGUCCGGAUUUAUUGGGCGUAAAGAGUUCGUAGGUGGUUUGUUAAGUUUGGUGUUAAAGAUUGGGGCUCAACCCUGAAACUGCACUGAAUACUGGCAGACUCGAGUGUGGUAGAGGCUAGUGGAAUUCCCAGUGUAGCGGUGAAAUGCGUAGAUAUUGGGAAGAACACCGGUGGCGUAGGCGACUAGCUGGGCCAUAACUGACACUGAGGAACGAAAGCCAGGGGAGCGAAUG